AAAAAAUGACUCUCGGCAACGGAUAUCUCGGCUCUCGCAUCGAUGAAGAACGUAGCGAAAUGCGAUACUUGGUGUGAAUUGCAGAAUCCCGUGAACCAUCGAGUCUUUGAACGCAAGUUGCGCCCUAAGCCUUCGGGCCGAGGGCACGUCUGCCUGGGUGUCACGC
Molecule: ribosomal RNA, 166 nt
Filed under: Stephanodaphne capitata
Lineage: Eukaryota; Viridiplantae; Streptophyta; Magnoliopsida; Malvales; Thymelaeaceae
Also listed under: 1 other name
Description: 5.8S ribosomal RNA
Rfam family: 5.8S ribosomal RNA
About the family: 5.8S ribosomal RNA (5.8S rRNA) is a component of the large subunit of the eukaryotic ribosome.
Source: RNAcentral